RNAcentral lists this ribosomal RNA (403 nucleotides) under uncultured bacterium. RNAcentral's name for it is "partial 16S ribosomal RNA". It matches the Rfam family "Bacterial small subunit ribosomal RNA", at positions 30 to 526 of the family's 1533-position model. The record is from RNAcentral.
AUUGAACGCUGGCGGCAGGCCUAACACAUGCAAGUCGAGCGUGCGGCGGACGGGUGAGUAAUGUAUGGGGACUGCCCGUUAGAGGGGGAUAAGUACUGGAAACGGUUGCUAAUACCGCAUACAGUCGGAUAACCCAUUCGGGAUUAGCUAGUGGGUAAGGUAAUGGCUUACCUAGGCGACGAUCCAUAGCUGGUCUGAGAGGAUGAUCAGCCAAACUGGGACUGAGACACGGCCCAGACUCCUACGGAGGCAGCAGUGGGGAAUAUUGGGCAAUGGACGAAAGCCUGAUGGAGCCAUGUCGCGUGAAUGAAGAAGGCCUUAGGGUUGUAAAGUACUGUCAGUCGGGAGGCGUUACCGACAGAAGAAGCACCGGCUAACUCCGUGCCAGCCGCCGCGGUAAUUC